Long non-coding RNA from Oreochromis niloticus (Nile tilapia), 593 nucleotides. RefSeq lists it as uncharacterized. The transcript is spliced from 3 exons. The record is from RefSeq and is a predicted model, not a curated record. Lineage: Eukaryota; Metazoa; Chordata; Actinopteri; Cichliformes; Cichlidae.
AUAGCUCGCUGUAUGCAGCACGUCUACUUCACACCUUCACAAAUGUUAACCAGGGCGUGACGUGUAGUCUGAUGAUGUGCAGCCACUCAGGUUGUUUGCUUUCUGACAGCAAGUCAGUGGGUGGAACAGAGAGAAGCACAAAACAAACUAAAGCUUACUACCUUACAGUUAACGUGCAGUCAACUACAGGAAGACACAGUUUUUUUGGCUCGACCUGCAAUAUUACUGACUAAAUCAAUGCAUUUACUUAAAAUGUAAUUGUAAAAAAAGAGCUAACCUCCAAGGAGUUCGGAGAGUCAGUGAAGACAUCAUACAGGUUUUUUCUACCCACAAGUCUGAAAACCAGAGACAGAGAAAGAGGAAGAGGAGGGUUUUACUCAGUGACCGUGAACUGAUGUCAGUGUUGGUCUGACAUCACUGAGCAGCAGGAUGGAGGAAACGUCUCUGCUGUGUCUGCUCUUUCUGAUCUCACUGCUGAGCUGCACCACAAACCAAGGUCAGUAACCUUCUUCUGUCACACUGUAAACCUGACUCACUCUCCCAGGAGACUGUGGGACACAUUUAUUAAGAACAUGCUGCAGCUCACUGCAGAC